UGUCCGGAAUUAUUGGGCGUAAAGAGCUCGUAGGCGGUUUGUCGCGUCUGCUGUGAAAGCCCGGGGCUCAACCCCGGGUCUGCAGUGGGUACGGGCAGACUAGAGUGCAGUAGGGGAGACUGGAAUUCCUGGUGUAGCGGUGAAAUGCGCAGAUAUCAGGAGGAACACCGAUGGCGAAGGCAGGUCUCUGGGCUGUAACUGACGCUGAGGAGCGAAAGCAUGGGGAGCGAACAGGAUUAGAUACCCUGGUAGUCCAUGCCGUAAACGUUGGGCACUAGGUGUGGGGGACAUUCCACGUUUUCCGCGCCGUAGCUAACGCAUUAAGUGCCCCGCCUGGGGAGUACGGCCGCAAGGCUAAAACUCAAAGGAAUUGACGGGGGCCCGCACAAGCGGCGGAGCAUGCGGAUUAAUUCGAUGCAACGCGAAGAACCUUACCAAGGCUUGACAUGGACCGGACCGCCGCAGAAAUGCGGUUUCCCUUCGGGGCCGGUUUACAGGUGGUGCAUGGUUGUCGUCAGCUCGUGUCGUGAGAUGUUGGGUUAAGUCCCGCAACGAGCGCAACCCUCUUUCUAUGUUGCCAGCGCGUUAUGGCGGGGACUCAUAGGAGACUGCCGGGGUCAACUCGGAGGAAGGUGGGGACGACGUCAAAUCAUCAUGCCCCUUAUGUCCUGGGCUUCACGCAUGCUACAAUGGCCGGUACAAAGGGUUGCGAUACUGUGAGGUGGAGCUAAUCCCAAAAAGCCGGUCUCAGUUCGGAUUGAGGUCUGCAACUCGACCUCAUGAAGUCGGAGUCGCUAGUAAUCGCAGAUCAGCAACGCUGCGGUGAAUACGUUCCCGGGCCUUGUACACACCGCCCGUCAAGUCACGAAAGUUGGUAACACCCGAAGCCGGUGGCCUAACCCC
RNAcentral lists this ribosomal RNA (903 nucleotides) under Crystallibacter crystallopoietes. RNAcentral describes it as "bacterial SSU rRNA". It matches the Rfam family "Bacterial small subunit ribosomal RNA", at positions 542 to 1442 of the family's 1533-position model. Lineage: Bacteria; Bacillati; Actinomycetota; Actinomycetes; Micrococcales; Micrococcaceae. The record is from RNAcentral.